Molecule: ribosomal RNA, 433 nt
Filed under: uncultured bacterium
Lineage: Bacteria
Description: partial 16S ribosomal RNA
Rfam family: Bacterial small subunit ribosomal RNA
Source: RNAcentral
AACGAACGCUGGCGGCAUGCCUAACACAUGCAAGUCGAACGAGAACUUCGGGUCUAGGGGCGCACGGGUGCGUAACGCGUGGGAACCUGCCCUUAGGUUCGGAAUAACUCCCCGAAAGGGGUGCUAAUACCGGAUAAUGUCUUCGGACCAAAGAUUUAUCGCCUUUGGAUGGGCCCGCGUUGGAUUAGCUAGUUGGUAGGGUAAAAGCCUACCAAGGCGACGAUACAUAGCUGGUCUGGGAGGAUGAUCCGCCACACUGGGACUGAGACACGGCCCAGACUCCUACGGGAGGCAGCAGUGGGGAAUAUUGGACGAUGGGCGAAAGCCUGAUCCAGCAAUGCCGCGUGAGUGAUGAAGGCCUUAGGGUUGUAAAGCUCUUUUACCCGUGAUGAUAAUGACAGUACCGGGAGAAUAAGCUCCGGCUAACUCCGUG